UGCGCAGCUAAGAUACCCUAAGUUUGAGCUCCCCCAAAAUUCUUCCCUCCUGGUCGAUGCCACAGCCACCAUCCCCUCCGGCGCUGCCAUACCUCCAGUCACUAAACAAAUAUCAAAAAAUACUUGUGAACGGCAAUGCACUCAUUUCCCCCAAUUUGAGGUCUCCCAAAAUCUCUCUCAUAGUAUACAACACACCAACCUAUCCCCUCUGGUCAGAAUAUACCGGCGACCAUUUUUCUACUUACUGCAGUUGAAGCCUCGAGAAAUGGGAGCCUGGCGGGGUUGAUUUCAACUUCCUACUCCGAGGAUAAUAGCUCUGCUGUUCGGGUAUUUGCCUACGACCUCCAACGACAAUCUUGGCAUUUUCGGAGUCUUGUGAACCUGAGGUGAGAGGUACAAAGCCUUAAUUGUUGACUGACUAAUUGUGGUGUUCCAUCAAUCUAAAAACUCAUUUUAUUGGCUUCUUAAUAAAUUUUAUCAUGUUGGAAAUAUAAGUUGUUUGAUUGAUCUAUGCUUCUAUCGUUAUAUUGCUAGUUGUUCGGAUAAAACUAGAGUGUAGCCAUCGACUUACAUGAUCUUUUCAUGGAAAAGCACUUUAAGAAACCCAUGAUGACAUCUCCUACAUUUUAAUUAGUUGAGUGGUUAUGGUGAAAACGAUGGAUAAUAGCACAAACAACCAGCGAGUUGAAACAGACUUACUGAAUGGCUGUAAAAAAUUAUAAAUGGAUGUUGUGUUCUUUAAUAUUACAUUUUCUUCUAUCUUGGCUGUAAGCUAACUAGGUACCUUUUGAAUGAAAUGCUGAAGGAGACAAAGUUGAACUGGCUUAUUUGUAAAUAACAAAGAAAAAGAUGCUUCCAAGGCUUAGUUACUGAUAUGACAUCCUUUGGUGGAACCAAAAUGUAACAGAUAACUGCACAUCUUAGUAUUAGACAUUUUUUGCUCCAAGUUGUUCUUUUGAUUGCAUUCCUAACUCCUGAUGUACAUAACUGGGGAUUAAUUCAUUCUGGUUAGUGUUUACACGUGAACUAUGAUGUAUGACAAUGGGUGAGGCUAAUUUUCAUGUCAAUUUGAUUUGUUAUACAUAUUAGCAUAGGAUGAUGUGGGUAUGUUGGCACUACUGAUAACAAUGAGUAAUGGAGAAGUGUAUUUGCAAUUGAUUUAUUCCACAUGUUGCAUCUUUUUUGAACAAUUUGUGGUUUAUUUAUACAAUGAUUUGUACAAUUGAUUUACGUGCGUGUUUCCCAUCUAAUGAUAUCAAAGGAAGGAAUGCUAAAAUUUGUCACAAAUGUAGAAGCAAUGGGCAUUUUUUCGGUGAAUGCCCAAGAAAAUGUCAUUGCCCAUUGUGUGCACAUGGAUUUCAGAAAUGUUUUUAGGUCGAACGACAAACACGCAACAAGGGUCGCUAUUUAACACAUGCAGUAAUAAAUGUAGAUUUUUUGAAUGGGUUAACAAGGAGAGUCAAGUGGAGACGAGUACAAUUAAUGAAGCUCUCAAUAUUGCAACAAAUGAGGAAGUCAAAGAUUUGCCAAGUAUGUUCGACAUUCUUGCUUGAAUAUUCGACGAACGAGACUUAGAGAUUAACUUGAAAUUACUUUCCGCAAGGGAAAAGGAAGUUCGGAAGGAAAUGGAAAAGUAAAGUAGGCCUCUUGAGUAGUUGUACUAUGUUGAACAUGUUAAUUGAAUUAUGUUUGUACUAGAACAUAUGAAGGACAUAACUACGUAUGUUUCAUCGGAAAAUGGGUGUUAUGCAAUGUAGGUUUAUGUGUAUUUCUUAUCUAUUGCCAAUUUAUUUUUUCAAAUGGUCCACUGCCUACUCCAUCGUAAUGCUUAGGACAUACUACACUGUCAACUAGUAGUAGUACAAUUUUAC
RNAcentral lists this long non-coding RNA (1871 nucleotides) under Olea europaea subsp. europaea. The record is from RNAcentral. Lineage: Eukaryota; Viridiplantae; Streptophyta; Magnoliopsida; Lamiales; Oleaceae.